Daucus carota subsp. sativus is the source of this 826-nucleotide long non-coding RNA. RefSeq lists it as uncharacterized. Lineage: Eukaryota; Viridiplantae; Streptophyta; Magnoliopsida; Apiales; Apiaceae. The record is from RefSeq and is a predicted model, not a curated record. The transcript is spliced from 3 exons.
AUUUUACUGCAAGUUUUUCCCUGAAUUAGUUGAUAUCGGGUAUUUAGGAUUGAAUAUCAGAUUAAAAGGAGGUGUGACAUGUGUCCCAAUAUUCCACCGCCUAUACUCCCUUUCUUCUUUCCUUUUCUAUAUUUCAUCACUUUUAAAACAUCAAGUCUCAGUCUCUCGCAUCUCUCGUUGUUGAGCCUCAACUAGUGUUCUCUUCCUCCUCUCUGCCUUUUCAAUCUUGCAACCGUGUGAUUAAUUAGGAGAGAGUGAAAUUAGGGUUUGGGAUUUUUCAACCAAUCAAAGAAUAGAUCAAGACGUGUAUAUCGAGAAGGUUCAGAAUUAUUCUGAUGGUGUUUCAAGUUGAAGCAAGAAUAAUCUGAAAAGACAAGCGGAGAAAGAGUAUAGUCAGAAGCUACUUAGAAAAACACGAUUGUGCGGUAUAGUGCUAUUAGAAUGGUGGCUAAACAUCGGAGUUAAGGCAAGUAUUUCUACCCUUAGUUAAGACUAGGGAUAAAGAUGAUUCACUAAAGACUGCGCGUAAAGAGUAAUGAUAGGCAAUGAUUGCAAGUGGUUGAGUUCAGGAAAAUUGUUAGGUAGGGUAUCCGGGACGAUGUGAUUAAGACUAGAUGCAGUUGGAGUUCUGCAAUUCAAUUCAGUUGGAAAUGAGAUUUGUUUAUUUGGUUAUCAGCUACUCUUCUUAUCGAUGUUUAGCUGAUAAUGCAGUUUAAUUUGUAAUUAAAUUUGAUAGUUUUAGUUUCUGAUUUCAAUGCUGUAACCUGUAUGCGAUCCUGUUUUCAGGGGGUGAAUUUGAUUUUAAUUUAAAUCAUUUUUUUAAAAA